This is a long non-coding RNA of Papaver somniferum (opium poppy), 9312 nucleotides long. RefSeq lists it as uncharacterized. The record is from RefSeq and is a predicted model, not a curated record. The transcript has 4 exons. NCBI's taxonomy places the organism in Eukaryota, Viridiplantae, Streptophyta, Magnoliopsida, Ranunculales, Papaveraceae.
GGUUGGAUAAGUUUUGUUUGGUAUUAGUUUUUGCUUUCUGUUAGGAUGAGUGUUUUUGUAUGCUUGUUUUGGUGGUGCCAAACUUAGCUUACUGACGUGUUAGGAGCCUGUGAUAGCUGAACUUUUUUGUGAGUUAGUCAUCAUCAGUUUGGAUAUGUGGCGAAUGUUUAUCCUGACACAGGGGCUCGUGUUCAUAGGGGAUAUUUUGGAAAGAAAAGAGAAAUGUUGAUGAAAACAACUGAACUUAGCUGCCUUCUCUUACAACAUCUGUAGAACUCCGUGAGAGAAAUCGAGAGGGAUUCAAGAGAAAAACCAGAAUCAGUUGAGCCUAUAUCAGAUUUCUGAGUUCAAUUCAUAGAAAGCAAAGUGAUGGUCAUGAACUCGUGGAUCACUUAGUUCCAGGGAGAUCUGAAAGUAUUUGAAAAGGGGUUUCUUUUCUCUCGAUCCGAAUUUGAAAUUAAAGGGAGGAGUUGGAUUUACUGUGAUGUUCAUGAUACCGUAAAUUUUAGUCUUGAUAUGAAGGUUUGUUGGAUUGAAAUUCACAGCAGCACUUCAGAAUUCUUAUGUAUGGUCAGAUGAAUCAACUGGGAUAUUAAAUGUUAUGCUCUGCGCUAAUUGAUGAUUUACUGUUUGACUAGGUGUCUUUGAGUUCAGUUGGAGGAUUGCGAAGAUUGAGGUUUGAGUAGCGGAUUGAGGUGGGAAUUUACAUGUCUCUUUUGUAACCAUUGAUGUCUUUUACAAAACUAUGUUUAUCUGCCUUAUCAAACUCAUGCAUGGUUAAACUUUAAUUCCUUAACAUUUUUGUUGGCUCCUUUAACCUUUCCAUUACUUGGAAAGGACCUGAAGUGUACUUCUUGUCUUAUGAGUGUAAUGGGAAAUAAGAAUUUCCUUCGUUGGUAUUUAGGAUUGUGCUCGUUCUUUUAUACCUAGCUUUUAUGUUUAUAUAGGUCAUCAGUUUGCGAGUUCGGAAUUGAUUGACAUCCAUAUAUGCUAUUAGGGGUGAAUUUGCGAGUUCGGAGUUUACCACCAUAUUAUUAAUUGUAUGAAGGAGGAGUAGGUCCGUAUACAUGGUUGAUUUGUGUGUUUUUGCCUUCUUUUAAUGUUUGAAGUAUAUGUUGUCUAAUUUCAGUGGGUUAAAUGUGCUUUCAACGUUUGAUAAAUUUGCAUUAUUUUGAAAUUCAACUUUAAUGGUUCCAUUUGGGAAGUGUAAGUAUUCCUACUGAGCUUGUUUAGCUCACUCCUUCCAUCUCCUUUUAGUGACUGGUAAUCUUGAGAUAAGUGGCGUAGACUCGGCCGAAGGAGAGGUUAUUGUUUGGGUUGUGUAGGGUGUCUGGUUGUGUAUAGAAAGGUAACUGCCGGUAUCUUUUUGUAGGCAGUACUGUGGUUGUGGUCAGUAAGGGUGAUUUUUUAUUUUUUUUUUGCUUGUAACUAUUGUAAAUUAUGUUUAAUUAACUAUCACAAGCACACCGUAUGUAAAUUAGUUAGUAAUGUUGUGAAUAUAGCCAAGUUUGGGUCUAGGCCGGUUUACACUUGUGCUGAAGGUUUCAUUUUAAAGGAUUGAGGUUUUACUUCAGCGAGCCAAAGAAUUUCAGUUAAUCAAUUUCUUUUGUAGCCUAGCUUGAGGAAAAUUUUCGUGAUGUUGAUCAUCUCUUUUGUAUCCAUCUUGUCAGCUGCGAACCUUAGCUUACUGCAGCACCACCAGUGUGGGUUCAUGGUCUUAAACUCAGAUUAGAAAAUUUGGGUCGCUAUAAUGUUGGUAUCAGAGCCCAUUAGUAGAUCUUAUAUGGGCGCUUAGUAAAAGCUAGAACCUAAAAGACAUCACGAAUAAAAAUCUUAUUGAAUAUAGUAGUUGUUUUUUGUUGUUGUUUGUGAGUAGUGUGCUUAUAAUAUGUCUUGUAAAGUUUUAGAUAUUAAGUUUUAUGUUCAAGUUGCGGUGGCAGAGUAUGACAGACAAUAAUGAAAAUCAGAGUUUGGAGGGUGGGUCUGGUCAGCAUAUUGAGAGUAGUAAUCUGUAGUUAUUAAUGAAGUCUAUGGCGGAGAUGAGGCAACAUCAACUGUUAUUGGAAGAAAGACUUGGGAUUUUGCCUCCACGACACAACUCAGGGAGCGCAGGUCAGACUUCGAACCAAGGGGAUCUGAUUAUGGAUCUGAUUAUGCCAGGACGAAAUCAAAAUCUACUCGGACAGUUACUUCAACAGUAUGUAAAGCUCGCUCCAGAGGAAUUCGAGGGAAGCCCACCAAAUCCCAAAAGGCGGAAGAAUGGUUGCAACAUGCAGAACAUGUUUUAGAACAUGUAACCGAUGAUAGAGAUAUGUGGGUCAAGUUGGCUACCUACAGAUUUCGAGGACCAGCACGAGUUUGGUGGAAGGAAGUAAUGAAAGCGGACUGUGAGGUAAUGACCUGGGAUAGGUUUAAAAGUUUGUUUAUGGACAAGUAUGUACCUGAUGCGGCAAGAGAUAGGAAAUUUUAUGAAUUCAUGUCUUUAACAAAGGGUGGUAUGUCUGUUAGCACUUAUAAUGAUAAAUUUGUAAGGUUGUUGCAUUACGGAGCAGAGUUGGUAGCCACUGAUGAGGCUAAAGAGAAGAAAUUUAUCAGAGGAUUGGAUCCCGAGAUGCGGAAACGACUCUCAUGUUUACGAAUCAGGACUUAUGGGGAUGCUUUGAAUCGGUCUCUUGAUUAUGAAAAAGAGAUGGAGGAUCAACUUGCAACACGAGUUAGAGAAAGGUCGCAACAGUUUUCAGCAAGACAAGGUCCAGCAAAACGGUCAAUGUUCUCAGCUCCUAAUCAGACAUUUUUCAGACCACCAGUAAGACCAUGGUCAACGGGAUCAGCAACAGCACCAUCUGCAAUACGUCCACCUUCAGUUAGACCUCAAGGAAGAUGAGUACGGUUCCAGCAAGUACACCCGACUGCACCAACCAGUUCUGGUUUGAGUUCCUUCAGGUGUCAUGGCUGUGGUGAAUCGGGUCAUUUGAAGAGGGAUUGCCCAAAGAAUCCACCAACAGGGUUAACUCAUCAAGGAGCGGUUUAUGCAAUGGAGCCAGUAGUAAAUUCUAAUCAAGAAGAAUCAGAAGAGAGUCAAGUAUUGUAUACAAUGGUGGAAGGGGAUGGCUCAGCGACCGAUCAGGUGGUUGAAGGUAAGAUGUUAUUGUUCAAUCACCUAGUGCAUGUGUUGAUAGACACUGGUUCUACUCAAUCAUUUAUAAACCUAAGCAUAGCAACUGAACUGGAGUUAAACAUGAUAUGUAACAACAAAACUUUAGCUUUAGCUACACCAUUGGGGACAAAAAAAUUUCCUUUUCGAGUUUGCAAGAAUUGUUUGAUGAUGGUUGAUGAUCAGGAAUUAACCGCAGACUUGAUUGUGCUAGAAAUGUGUGGUUUUGAUGUCAUACUAGGUAUGUAUUUGAUUAGCUAAAUAUCAUGCUAGUGUGGAUUGUUUUGCUAAAGUAGUUACAUUUCUAUUGCCUGGUAGAUCUCCGUUUGUGUUUGAGGGUUCCAUAAAACCACAGAGUUUGUUUCAGAAACUGAAAAAAAACUGUUGGUGAAAAUGGGUUUGGUUUGCUUGCUUGUGUCACUGAAGAUACGGUGACAGUAGAGUCAAUACCUGUAGUGUGUGUGAUUUUAAAUAUGUAUUCCCAGAUGUUCUGCCAGGGUUACCACCAAAGAGAGUGAUAGAUUUUUGCAUUGAUUUAUUGCCGGGAACUUCUCCAAUUUCGAAAAAUCCUUACCGUAUGGCUCCCUGUGAAAAGAAAGAAAUAAAGUCACAGAUAGAAGAGUUAUUAAGUUUAGGAUUUAUUCAACCUAGUUUUUCUUCAUGGGGUGCUCCUGUUUUGUUUGUGAAAAAGAAGGAUAAUACGUUUAGGUUGUGUGUUGAUUAUCGGGAAUUAAAUAAAGUCACUAUCAAGAAUAGGUAUCCACUUCCAAGGAUAGAUGAUUCGUUUGAUCAGUUGAAAGAUGCUAAAUUCUUUGCUAAGAUUGACCUUAGGACAGGGUAUCAUCAGUUGCGAAUCAAGGAAGGUGACAUUCCAAAAACAGCUUUUAGGACAACGUUAGGGCACUAUGAAUAUCUCGUUAUGCCUUUUGGUUUGUCUAACGCCCCAACAAUGUUCAUGGAUUUGAUGCAUAGGGUACUUUGGCCAUAUUUGAAUGAAUGUGUGAUUGUGUUCAUUGAUGAUAUUUGGAUUUAUUCAAAGACUCUUGAAGACCAUGGGAUACACUUGCAAAAUGUUCUCCAAACUCUGCGUGAAAACCAGUUGUAUGCAAAGUUUAGUAAAUGUGAGUUUUGGUUAAAUGAAGUAAAAUUUCUUUGUCAUGUCGUUUCAAGUGGGGGAAUUGCAGUAGAUCCUUCAAAGGUUGAUAGUGUUUUGAACUGGCGGCAACCAAGAACAGUUUCAGAAGUUUGAAGUUUCUUAGGGUUGGCAGGUUAUUAUCGUCGGUUUGUGCAGGGUUUCUCCAAAAUUGCAUCACCAUUUAGUCGGUUAACACAUAAAGGGGUUAAAUUCGAAUGGUCAGCUGAGUGUGAGUCUGCUUUCCAAGAGUUGAAGAAUCGUUUAACUUCAUCACCAGUGUUGACCGUGCCGAGUCCAAGGACAAUUUAUGACGUGUAUACAGACGCAUCUUCGGUUAGUCUUGGAUGUGUAUUAAUGCAGAAUAGACAAGUCAUUGCCUAUGCUUCCAGGAAAUUGAAGAUUCAUGAGAAGAAUUAUCCUACACAUGAUCUAGAGCUGGCGGCUGUUGUAUUUGCUUUUAAGAUUUGGAGGCACUAUUUAUAUGGAGAAAAAUUCAGGUUAUAUUCUGAUCAUAAGAGUCUACGGUAUUUGUUCUCACAAAAGGAUUUGAAUUUGAGACAAAGCCGCUGGGAUGAGUACUUGAAAGACUACGAAUUUACCUUGUUGUAUCAUCCGGGUAAGGCAAAUGUGGUGGCUGACGCUCUUAGUCGUAAGAAAGAAGGGAUUAUGGCACACAUGUUGGUUAUGAAAUGGAUGUUGUUGAGUGAGGCAAUAGAUUACACAUUACAAGAAUCAUAAGAUGAUGGUGUUUGCACCAGUUAUUUAGCUCAAAUGACAGUACACUCUACCUUGAUUCAGAGGAUAGCCAAGGUUCAAGUUGAAAGUCAAGACUUUGUAAAAUAUUUCGACAUGGCUAAUGAUAAAGACAACAAGGAUUGGAAGCUACAUUCUGAUGAUACACUUCGUUUCAGGGAUCGUUUAUGGGUGCCAAAAGAGACAGGGUUAGAACUGAGGAAUGAAAUUUUGAAUGAAGCGCAUCGAUCUCAUUACACUAUUCACCCGGGCGGCACUAAGAUGUACAGAAACCUAAGAAGAAACUUUUGGUGGCCUGGAAUGAAGAGAUCUAUUGCUGAGUUUAUGAAGAAAUGUUUGACAUGUCAACAAGUAAAAGCUGAAAACAAAUUACCAGGGGGACUUCUUCAACCUUUACCUAUUCCAGAUUGGAAGUAGGAACAUGUUACAAUGGAUUUUGUUACUGGGUUGCCUAGAACUAGUGAUGGUAUGGAUUCCAUAUGGGUUGUGGUGGACAGAUUAACGAAGUCGGCUCAUUUUGUACCGGUCAAGACUACUUACUCAGUAGACAAGCUAGCACAAACGUAUGUUUCCGAGAUUGUCCGGCUACAUGGUGUUCCAUUGUCCAUCAUAUCAGAUAGGGGUGCUCAAUUCACGUCUGAUUUUUGGAAAGGGCUUCACACAACAUUUGGUACCAAUGUUAAUCUUAGAUCGGCUUUUCACCCGCAGUCAUAUGGACAGUCAGAACGGGUUAUACGUACACUGGAAGAUAUGCUCAGGGCAUGUGUGCUGGAUUUUCAAGGUAGUUGGAAGAGUCAUUUGCCGUUAGCUGAAUUUGCUUACAACAAUAGUUAUCAGGCAAGUAUUGGUAUGACACCAUUUGAAGCGUUAUAUGGGCGACCGUGUAGAUCACCGAUAUGUUGGACAGAGGUUGGAGACAGUUUGUUGACUGGGACGACAGUAGUUGCAGAGAUCACAGAGAAUAUUAAGAUCAUUAAAGAACGUCUUCGAGCAUCUCAAAGUAGGCAGAAGAGUUAUGCAGAUCAUGGUCGACGUCCACUACAGUUUGAGGUUGGGAAGUAUGUGUUGUUACGAGUAUCGCCAAGAAAAGGAAUUACUAGAUUUGGAUUAAAGGGAAAACUCGCACCACGGUUUAUUGGUCCAUUUCAGAUUGUUGAGAAAGUUGGGGAAGUAGCUUACAGGCUCGCAUUACCAGCAAGCAUGGGUCAUGUUCAUAAUUUAUUUCAUGUGUCUAUGCUUUGAGGUUACGAGUCUGAUCCCUCUCAUGUUUUGGAAUGGCAAUCUCUGCCAUUGGAAGAUAAUGGUACAUACAAGGAAGAGCCGAUAGAUAUUCUGGACUGUAAGGAGAAGGUUUUGAGAAAAAAAAUUAUUCCGCUAGUGAAACUGCGUUGGAUUCAUCACAAUACCGAUGAAGCUACAUGGGAGAAAUAAUCCGAUAUGCGAGCUCAAUAUCCAGAGCUGUUUUCUUGAGGUAUGUUUUGUUCUUUUCGAGGACGAAAAGUUAUGUUAGGUAGGGUGAUUGUAGGAACCCAAUUGUUUAUAGUCUGAUUAUUGACUAAUCAAUGUACAUUUAUGCCUUGUGUUUGUGGUUGUGUGUUUGGCUUAUUAGUAUGUCAGGUUGGUGCAAAUCAGAAGAGUUGCACCUAGAGUACAUAUUCACUUGUUUUCUUUCUUGGCUAGAAACGUGGCGGAGUUUCGCUUUGACACCUAGGGUCCAGGUCAUGAUUUUGGUUGGAUAAGUUUUGUUUGGUAUUAGUUUUUGCUUUCUGUUAGGAUGAGUGUUUUUGUAUGCUUGUUUUGGUGGUGCCAAACUUAGCUUACUGACGUGUUAGGAGCCUGUGAAAGCUGAUUUUUUUUGUGAGUUAGUCAUCAUCAGUUUGGAUACAUGGCGAAUGUUUACCCUGACACGGGCUCGUGUUCAUAGGGGAUAUUUUGGAAAGAAAAGAGAAAUGUUGAUGAAAACAACUGAACUUAGUUGCCUUCUCUUACAACAUCUGUAGUACUCUGUGAGAGAAAUCGAGAGGGAUUCAAGAGAAAAACCAGAAUCAGUUGAACCUAUAUCAGAUUUCUGAGUUCAAUUCAUAGAAAGCAAAGUGAUGGUCAUGAACUCGUGAAUCACUUAGUUCCAGGAAGAUCUGAAAGUAUUUGAAAAGGGGUUUCUUUUCUCUCGAUCCGAAUUUGAAAUUAAAGGUAUGACUCAACUCUGAUUGUUCUUGUUUCGACAAAUUCUUCUCAAUAUGAUAGCUAUUGAUCGAACCUCUUAUUACUGAUUCCAUCUUGAUCUUGUCAAAUUCAUUAUCAACAGACUUAGGGUUUAUUGAAAUUGAUAUCAUAUGUAUGUAUUGACUAAAAGCAUGAUAAAAUUAGAACUCGAAUAAAGGAAGGGAUUUGUGAAUUUCAGGUCUGUGGAACACCAGAAACCUAGGAUCUUCGUUGGAAAUCAUUUUCAUUGUUGUGUGUUUAUCUUGUUCUUAAUCCUUGACCACUGAUUCUUGAGGAGUAUAUUUUUGCUAGGGAGGAGUUGGAUUUACUGUGAUGUUCAUGAUACCAUAAAUUUUAGUCUUGAUAUGAAGGUUUGUUGGAUUGGAAUUCACAGCAGCACUUCAGAAUUCUUAUGUAUGGUCAGGUGAUGUUUUGGCUCGACUUUAGGGCACUUUAGAUGAUGAACUGAGUUAGGGAUUCUUUUCAUGAAAUUUUGGUCUUUUGAUAGAUGAAUCAACUGGGAUAUUAAGUGUUAUGCUCUGAGCUAAUUGAUGUAAGACAUGCAUAUUCUCAAUCAGUUCUUCUAUACAGUGAUUUUGACGUAUAUGCUUCAUAAUCUAGCCUGAGACUUGUACUGAUAAGCAUUAGAUAUCUUUUGAGCAAAUAAUCCAGCAUGUUAUUCGAAUGUUGCAGUUAAGAUUACGCAAUUUGAAGUAUGCCAGCUUGUGUAACAACUGCCCUGCACCUCUGUCAGUUCUACUUUUAAGAAAUUUGACGCUUACAACUUGAGUUAGCGUUAGACUUAUAUAGGGAUUACAGUAUAUUGAACUACCAAACUUUAGAGGAUUUUGUUGCUUGGUUUAGAGUUAAAUUGACUAAGUGUGUAUAAUUUUAGAGUUUAUUUUGAAAUCUAGGAUUUGCUUGUAACUGCUGUGAGUAGACGUCUUUAUGGACUUUCAUGGGUAUGUUAGAGAUCGAUUUGGUUCAUGAUGUAUUAAAGAAAAAUGUAGUGGAGAUUGUUAUCUUUCAAAAGAGCUAUUAGUUGUUUGAAAUGAAUCAGAGAUGAAUGUUUUAUGCACCCUGAAACUUAGACCUUCGUGUUGUUUACAAGGGUGUUAGGGGCUGAAACUGAAGAAAGUGUUAAUCAACUUCAUUGUGCAGGAUUUACUGUUUGACUAGGUGUCUUUGAGUUCAGUUGGAGGAUUGCGAAGAUUGAGGUUUGAGUAGCGGAUUGAGGUGGGAAUUUACAUGUCUCUUUUGUAACCGUUGAUGUCUUUUACAAAACUAUGUUUAGCUUCCUUAUCAAACUCAUGCAUGGUUAAACUUUAAUUCCUUAACAUUUUUGUUGGCUCCUUUAACCUUUCCGUUACUUGGAAAGGACCUGAAGUGUACUUGCUUGUCUUAUGAGUGUAAUGGGAAAUAAGAAUUUCCUUCUUUGGUAUUUAGGAUUGUGCUCUUUCUUUUAUACCUGCUUUUAUGUUUAUACAGGUCAUCAGUUUGCGAGUUCAGAAUUGAUUGACAUCCAUAUAUGCUAUUAGGGGUGAAUUUGCGAGUUCGGAGUUUACCACCAUAUUAUAAAUUGUGUGAAAGAGGAGUAGGUCUGUAUACAUGGUUGAUUUGUGUGUUUUUGCCUUAUUUUAAUGUUUGUGAAGUAUAUGUUGUCUAAUUUCAGUGGGUUAAAUGUGCUUUCAACGUUUGAUAAAUUUGUAUUAUUUUGAUAUUCAACUUUAAUGGUUCCAUUUGAGAAGUGUAAGUAUUCCUACUGAGCUUGUUUAGAUCACUCCUUCCAUCUCCUUUUAGUGGCAGGUAAUCUUGAGAUAAGUGGCGCAGACUCGGCCUAAGGAGAGGUUAUUUUUUGGGUUGAGUAGGGUGUCUGGUUGUGUAUAGGAAGGUAACUGCCGGUAUCUUUUUGUAGGCAGUACUGUGGUUGUGGUCAGCAAGGAUGUAUUUUUUUUUUGCUUGUAAGCAACUAUUGUAAAUUAUGUUUAAUUAACUAUCACAAACACACCGUAUGUAAAUUAGUUAGUAAUGUUAUGAAUAUAGCCAAAUUUGGGUCUAGGCCGGUUUA